Long non-coding RNA from Zingiber officinale, 1012 nucleotides. RefSeq lists it as uncharacterized. The record is from RefSeq and is a predicted model, not a curated record. Lineage: Eukaryota; Viridiplantae; Streptophyta; Magnoliopsida; Zingiberales; Zingiberaceae. The transcript has 3 exons.
AUUUCUUUUCUUCAUUUUCCUUUUCCCCAUCCCACACGAGCCGAACUCUUCUCCCCUGCAGAAACCAUGCGCCGACGCCGAAAUUCCUCUCUCGAUCUUCUGCCCUAGCCGUCGCGAGGGCACCGCCGGCUCCUCCUCUCGGCCAAUCUAUCCUCGCCGGCCGACGAGAGCCGAGGAUAAAGCCCCGUCGCCGGCCACGCAUCGAGCCCUAGGUCUUUCUCUCUCGGCGCCGGUUGCUUCUUCCUCCGGUACCGGAGCCGUGGCCGAGGGAUGUGCUUCUCCUCCCUUGCCGGUGCUCUCGGUUUUUCCUCUGCUCAUCGCCCCGAUCGCUGCUGUGCCCUAGCUUUCACUGCCAAGCCGAGGUGGCGUCGCUGCAUCCCACAGGAACCCUAGCGCCGGCCUUCUCCACGCUGGGCCUUUUACCGAUGCCGACUUCUUCCUCUGCUGCCUCUCUGCGCAGAUGCAUUUCCGACUCCACUGCAGCCACGCAUGCCCUAGGGUGGAGCUUUCUCUGGGCAUCUCUGCCUGACGUCUCCAUCUGGACCGGUGGUCCUUGCGAGCAGCUAACCCCAUCAAACUCCUCUUGGCUGACAAGUCGUCGACUACUGCUGUUAGUUGUGCCUUCUGUUCUCAGCGCACCACACACACGAAUGUGUAUGCUGAUUACAUCAUUGUUGGGUUCAACACCAGCCUUCUGCCAUCGCCGAAGAACUACCACUAACAGGAGAUUAGGGUGAUUUGAAGGGACAAUGGUUUCGCCUUCCCUGGUUAUCAUUACCAAGAGUAAGAACCUUCAGACAAAGUUCCGGCAGUAGGUUUUUUUCUGGUUGUGAGUCAUCAGCAGAGUAUCCUGCUGCCGACGGUCCCAUUGGAGCUUCGCUUGGUCUCGACCACUAUUACUGAUGUGAGGAUGCGCCGUUAGUGAGGCAACAUCAGGGUGCACUGGAAUUGGGACUUUGAUUCGAGACAGGCGCCUCGACGUAGGAUUUCUGGAUACGAUCUUCUGUUGAGG